This 500-nucleotide ribosomal RNA is filed under the name uncultured bacterium. Its description in RNAcentral is "partial 16S ribosomal RNA". It matches the Rfam family "Bacterial small subunit ribosomal RNA", at positions 30 to 523 of the family's 1533-position model. The record is from RNAcentral.
AUUGAACGCUGGCGGCAUGCCUUACGCAUGCAAGUCGAACGGCAGCACGGGAGCAAUCCUGGUGGCGAGUGGCGAACGGGUGAGUAAUAUAUCGGAACGUGCCCAGUCGUGGGGGAUAACGCAGCGAAAGCUGUGCUAAUACCGCAUACGAUCUACGGAUGAAAGCGGGGGAUCGCAAGACCUCGCGCGAUUGGAGCGGCCGAUAUCAGAUUAGGUAGUUGGGGGGGUAAAGGCUCACGAAGGCGACGAUCAGUAGCUGGUCUGAGAGGACGACCAGCCACACUGGAACGGGGACACGGUCCAGACUCCUACGGGAGGCAGCAGUGGGGAAUUUUGGACAAUGGGCGAAAGCCUGAUUCAGCCAUUCCGCGUGAGUGAAGAAGGCCUUCGGGUUGUAAAGCUCUUUCGCAAGGGAAGAAAACUUAAGCUCUAACAUAGCUUGAGGUUGACGGUACCUUGAUAAGAAGCACCGGCUAACUACGUGCCAGCCGCCGCAGUAA